CUACAGGCGCUACGAACCGGAGCAAGGACUAAUCUCGCCUCAUAAUGAGGCGGUGACCUCGUAUUUGCUCCGGGAAAAGUCCAGAUUUAGACGACGUCAUUGUGUGUAAGUGACACUGUUUCUCCUUCCUUGUUAAAUGUUACUGUGACUUGCGUUUGAUUUUCUUUUUGUAUUCAUACCACACUCAUUUAAUUGUUUUCCAGCCGCCUGUGAGACGUAUUUUGAGACGGGACGCAGGAGCUUCAGGUUCAGGCGGAACACUCAUUGCGAGCGGAAGCUGCGAAGGAUUCAGCGCGGAGUCGAGCGAGAAGAAAGAGGCUGCUGGAAUCGAGACAAAGUGCUGGCUGAUGACGAGGUGGAAAUCCGCCACCGUGGAGCUCACGUCGGACGGAGGGGACGGCGUUGUUGGCGGGGUCUCGGG
Molecule: long non-coding RNA, 421 nt
Organism: Gasterosteus aculeatus aculeatus (three-spined stickleback)
Lineage: Eukaryota; Metazoa; Chordata; Actinopteri; Perciformes; Gasterosteidae
Source: Ensembl